AUUGAACGCUGGCGGCAGGCCUAACACAUGCAAGUCGAGCGGUAGCACAGAGAGCUUGCUCUCGGGUGACGAGCGGCGGACGGGUGAGUAAUGUCUGGGAAACUGCCUGAUGGAGGGGGAUAACUACUGGAAACGGUAGCUAAUACCGCAUAACGUCGCAAGACCAAAGUGGGGGACCUUCGGGCCUCAUGCCAUCAGAUGUGCCCAGAUGGGAUUAGCUGGCAGGUGGGGUAACGGCUCACCUAGGCGACGAUCCCUAGCUGGUCUGAGAGGAUGACCAGCCACACUGGACCUGAGACACGGUCCAGACUCCUACGGGAGGCAGCAGUGGGGAAUAUUGCACAAUGGGCGCAAGCCUGAUGCAGCCAUGCCGCGUGUGUGAAGAAGGCCUUCGGGUUGUAAAGCACUUUCAGCGGGGAGGAAGGCGGUGAGGUUUAUAACCUCACUGAUUGACGUUACCCGCAGAAGAAGCACCGGCUAACUCCGUGCCAGCAGCCGCAGUAA
This 504-nucleotide ribosomal RNA is filed under the name uncultured bacterium. RNAcentral's name for it is "partial 16S ribosomal RNA". It matches the Rfam family "Bacterial small subunit ribosomal RNA", at positions 29 to 523 of the family's 1533-position model. The record is from RNAcentral.